RNAcentral lists this ribosomal RNA (1095 nucleotides) under Triticum aestivum (bread wheat). RNAcentral's name for it is "partial small subunit ribosomal RNA". The record is from RNAcentral. Lineage: Eukaryota; Viridiplantae; Streptophyta; Magnoliopsida; Poales; Poaceae.
AUGCCCUUCACCGGCGUGUCUGUCAUCACCGAUGGAAGAGCGCCACGAUCUUCCUCGCCAACCGCAAGCAGCAACACCUCCAGCGGCUACCACCUGCUCAUAGUCGAGGGGUACUCGCGCACCAAGAGCAGCACACACACGGGAGAGUGCAUCAGGUCUUGCCCUUUCAUGGUUGGCGGCUACCUUUGGUGCAUCCAGUACUACCCCAAUGGCGCCAAGUCGGAGAACGCAGAUUUUAUAUCUCUUUAUCUUGGUCUUCUUAACAAUGACGAUGCUGCACUUGCAAGCCCAUUGAAGUUGCAGUUCGAGAUUAGUUUCGUCGAUCAGAUUUACAAUCAAGAAUCCACGCAGAUUCGCGCUGGCCAAGUAUAUGAAUUGCCUAGAAGCUGCGGCCUAUCACCAGUUAAUCAGAGGGACACCUUGGAAAGAUCAAAGUACCUUAAGGAUGACAGUUUCACCCUCCGUUGUGACAUCGUGGUCAUUGGCGAUGCUAACAGCAGGGACACUGCCACCACUUCUCCGUCCAUCAAGGUGCCUUCUUCGGACAUGCAACAGCAUUUCAGCGAUCUUCUUCUGGCCGAGGAGGGAACGGACGUGACGUUCAAGGUCGGCGGCGAGACGAUCGCCGCACACCGUUGUGUGCUAGCGGCCCGAUCUGCCGUCUUCAAGGCAGAGCUCUUUGGCACCAUGAAAGAAGGCAUGAUGACUACAAGCGUCAUACAGGUUGACGACAUGGACGCGCAAGUUUUCAGGGCGAUGCUUGGGUUCAUUUACAGUGACUCGCCGUCGGAGAUAGAGGAGGAAGAAGAUGCAGAUGUGAUGUGGCAGCACCUGCUCAUCGCUGCUGACAGGUAUGAUCUCCGGCGACUAAGGCUGAUGUGUGAAGAGAAGCUGUCCGAGUACGUCGACGUGACCACGGCCACGACCAUCUUGACGCUAGCUGAGCAGCACAACUGUCGCGGGUUGAAGGAGACGUGCUUGGAGUUUCUCAACUCUCCUGCAAACCUGCAAAAAGUCAUGGCGUCCGGUGGUUUGGAUAGUCUUGCUGCAUGCUGCCCCUCUGUUCUGAAAGAUCUCAUUGCCAAGCUUAAUUAA